Megachile rotundata (alfalfa leafcutting bee) is the source of this 1143-nucleotide long non-coding RNA. Lineage: Eukaryota; Metazoa; Arthropoda; Insecta; Hymenoptera; Megachilidae. The record is from RefSeq and is a predicted model, not a curated record.
UGAUCGGCCACGUUCGUCAGCCGGGCCCCACGCAAAAAGGCAGCGGGGCCGCGCGCGAGCCGACUCGACACAAAACGAAUUUCUUAUUGAUAUUUUCGGCGAAGCAAAAAAAAAAAACGUAAAGUAAACCAGAAAAAUAAAAAAAUUCAAAGAAAAGAAACGAACGAAUCGCGGCCGGUUAGGCGUGAAGCGCGUUUCAACGGCAAUCCAAGAAGAAACGACUGUCCUCUUUACUCUCCGCCCCGAGGAAACGAUAAAAGUUCGACGACGUGGUUCGACCGACGAAGGAACGAUCGAAACAUCCGCGCUACAACCACCGACAGUGACCAUCUGAGCGAUUUUUCGUUGACCAGUGACUGUGAGGGAACGAGCAGUUUUGUUUUGUGAACAACGUUUACGCACGUCCUCGAACUCGUCCUGGAAUCGACACGAUUGCACAGAUUAACGAAUGACGUCGUAAAAGAGAGCUGGUUGAUGCGCAGACACCGGGACACAAAAGGGGACAGCAUCUUUCACAUCGCCACGGCAACGUUCAUCACGAAUAAGAAGAAUCGCGGCAAGGAAAAUCGAGACGAGGGAGCGAGGGGCACCUAGCCCUUUGGCGAGCUCGAAGGAUGCAGCUCCCAGGCGGGAGCACGAGGAUUCCGCCCGCGAGAGCACCGGUUUCACUUCUCGUGAUCAUCAACGGAAGUAAUAUCGCAUCGACUGUCGUGAAGAAACGCAGCAACGGUAGAAACUGUAGCGGAAGCGGUGGAGCCGGUUCAAAUAGUCAUCGUGGCAAGAACGGUGGGGAAAACGUAAGGAAAAGCGAUAGCAGUGGAAACGGUCCCGAGAUCGAGCCGCGUCUCGUGAAAAGAAAUCGUCAUCCCGAGACGAGGACGAACAGCCGACACCGAGUCACCGAGAAGCCCCAGCUGUUGGCGUCAGCUCCAAGGCGGAAGGAGCGGGGCGAAGAAUAGUGAAAAGAAGCUAGAGAAAAAGCAAGGAACGACGGAAGAAGAGGAAGAGGAGGCGCGAGAGAAGGAGAAGAAGGUGAAGAAGAGAAAGCAAGAGUUCGUCGGGAAGGAGACGGGUGCCGACGUCGUCGUCGUCGGCGGCGGCGGCGGAGGAGAAAGAGGCGGAAGAAGAGGAGGAAGAGGAGAA